RNAcentral lists this ribosomal RNA (433 nucleotides) under uncultured bacterium. RNAcentral's name for it is "partial 16S ribosomal RNA". It matches the Rfam family "Bacterial small subunit ribosomal RNA", at positions 29 to 507 of the family's 1533-position model. The record is from RNAcentral.
AACGAACGCUGGCGGCAUGCCUAACACAUGCAAGUCGAACGAGACCUUCGGGUCUAGUGGCGCACGGGUGCGUAACGCGUGGGGACCUGCCCUUAGGUUCGGAAUAACUCCCCGAAAGGGGUGCUAAUACCGGAUAAUGUCUUCGGACCAAAGAUUUAUCGCCUUUGGAUGGGCCCGCGUUGGAUUAGCUAGUUGGUAGGGUAAAAGCCUACCAAGGCGACGAUCCAUAGCUGGUCUGAGAGGAUGAUCAGCCACACUGGGACUGAGACACGGCCCAGACUCCUACGGGAGGCAGCAGUGGGGAAUAUUGGACAAUGGGCGAAAGCCUGAUCCGGCAAUGCCGCGUGAGUGAUGAAGGCCUUAGGGUUGUAAAGCUCUUUUACCCGGGAUGAUAAUGACAGUACCGGGAGAAUAAGCUCCGGCUAACUCCGUG